Molecule: long non-coding RNA, 984 nt
Filed under: Mus pahari (shrew mouse)
Lineage: Eukaryota; Metazoa; Chordata; Mammalia; Rodentia; Muridae
Description: lncRNA (MGP_PahariEiJ_G0005874.1)
Source: RNAcentral
AGGAAAGGAGAGGGACAGGGAGGCUAGGGCGACCGAGGAUACGCCGAGGUCUAGUCCGGCUUGGCAGCGCGAGCUAGAGAGCUUGGCGAGCCGCGGGGCUGGGAAGUCAGGGUUUGGGGGCCAGGCCUGCCCUCUGGUGCUUUCGGCUCCUCGGGCCCCCGACUUUAAAGUGCUCAAGUUGGGGUCGGCGCCAUCAUGACGCCUGAGACUGUGAGAAGAAAAUGUUAGUUACAAUUGAUAGAAGAACUAACUCACUCAAGAGCCUGAAGAAAGGAACAGAGCUUCUAGUAUGAGAUGCUGAGACCGUCUCACUGUGAAGGAUGUUCCCUGUCCAUUCUGAUAAGAGGGGGGCUGCACAGCUUGGACUGAUUCAUGUCUCUUGCUUGGAUCCUGCAACAUCUGGUCUACAGUGCAGGAAAUAAGAUAGGCCAGCAUGAGCCGGAAUCAACUGUCUCAUCGGAAUAUGUAUUUUAGCAACUGACUCCUCUAUGAAAGCAACAGUAAAUUAACGGAGUUCAUAGUCCAACAGCUCAAGAUUCUAUCAGUAAUUAGUUGUUGUGAUAUAUUCAUUGACUUGACUGUCCUGAAGCUCGAUUCUGAGUGUGUUCUUCAGGUUGCUUGAGGAAAGGCUAAGAUCUGAGUCAGUGGGCAUUAUGGCUGAUGCUCGGAUAUCAUCUGUAACCCUAUUCCCUUGACAAUGAAUCACACCAAAUUCAAUUAAAAUCUGGCCCAAAUAAGAAGGAGCCUGAAAGUUACCCUCUACAUGAAAAACAAAUCAGGAACUCAGUAGGGAAAGACGCUUGCCUCCUAACCUGACCACCAGGGUUCUAUCCCCUAGGCCAGCAUGGUUGAUGAAAAGACAAACUCCCAUAAGGUCUCCUCUGGCUUCCACACUGUCCUUGGGGUCUGCAUCUGGCCAUACAUACACACGUUACCAAAUUCAAUCUUUCAUUAAUAAAGUUCAUCAAUAAAAGAAGUGAGCAA